Alosa sapidissima (American shad) is the source of this 1614-nucleotide long non-coding RNA. RefSeq lists it as uncharacterized. The record is from RefSeq and is a predicted model, not a curated record. NCBI's taxonomy places the organism in Eukaryota, Metazoa, Chordata, Actinopteri, Clupeiformes, Clupeidae. The transcript has 4 exons.
GGGAAGCACAUGUCAGCCAUGAGAGAAGAGUGAUAUCUGAUGUCUGAAAAAGGGCGCCGCCAUGUUGGAUUUCAACAAUCGGCUAUGUCACUGGCAUGAUCGGACACCUGAAGCCAGUGCCAUAAUACAUUCACUGAGGAAGAGGAAGAAGAUGGGAGAAGAACGAGAGAGGAGAGGAGGAAGGAGCUGAGGAUUCCGGGCGGAAGGAAGUGAGGCAAGAUCGGGCGGGACGGUUUUCCCAUUUGGUGGACGGUCGUCAGCUCAGCUCAGGAAGUGAUGUCAUCCGUUCUUGUCCCCUCCCUUGUCUCCGACCGACUGUAAGAAACAACAACGCUUAAUCCCCCAUCCCUCUCCAAUGAUUUAUGAGGCUUAAUGGAAAUAAUGGAUUCCCGCACACACACGUGUAUUGUGCAACUAUCCUUACAACAUCUUUGCACCAUCUGAGCAACACAGUCACCACUCCUGAGACAUGUUCCCCCGAUGACUGCAUAAUCUGAGGCAGGUGCUGUUUUGCCUUGGCAGUCCACUUUGGUCAUCAGGGGCGUAUCUUAGGGUGUCCCCUGGGUGUCUAAAUGAGGAGGUGCUGUAACAGGGGUACUUUAUGUACACCUGGUGUGCUCUUCACAAACACUCACACACAGACGCCAUUCUGUUGCACCAGCGCUCCUGGGAAACUUCACCCAAACUUCACCGCUAGCAUGCACUAUGGUAGUUCAAUAGGAGCAGCGGUGCCAUAUGGGAGCUAACUGACAGACCCAACAGUCUGCUAGCUUCAUUAGUAGUUCAUUAGUAGUUAAUAAGUAGUUCUUUUACCUAAAAAUAAUGCUUUCAAACUCAUUGGGAUGGCACACUUAUUGACUUGCAAUAAAGAGAAUGGAGUCUCUGACAUUGACUUUGCACACCCAGAAUGCCAUUGCCUGUUAUUGUUAUUGCACUUUGUAACGUUGUUGUUGUGGGUGGAGGAUGACCCUUGUCGAUGCUUUUAGACAAAUUGGGUAUCCCCUUAGAGCUGAAUGGGUAGCCAGUACAUUGAAAAUGGACACAGAGGAGAAUUCCUAGCUUACAUUGUGUUACUUUGAGUACUGACCACAUUCAAAGGAAUGUAUGCAGCUGUGUGCAAUGAAUAGGACAGAGAUUUAAGUCAGACCUUUUGUUUUUCCUGCUCAUUCCAGCUGAGAUAUUGUCAUUUGGUUAUGGCUGCUGAGCUAAUGCUGUUGGUUGGCUUUGGCAACCUUUAUAAAGAAAUAACAGGGGUCAGAUGGGUAUGACUAACACUGGACACAUUGCUGAGAGCAGAAAGCAAAAUGCUACAUUAGCUUAGCUAUGCCCUCUGAGAGUUGGCCAUCUCAGCUAUCUCAGUUACAUCAUCUUAAUUUAGUCUGAUCAUCUGAUCUUUAUUUUUUAUGAUCCCGACUAUUUCCUGAUCAUUUUCAGGUCGCUUGAGUCUGACUGCUGCUGCAUCAGCAGCUAUUUUUACAACCUUGGAGAGUGAACUUUGACAUUUGCUAGCGCCCACAUGCCAACCGCUAGUAGACACACAUGUCUAUCUACAGAGCUGAAGACUCUGUUGUGUGUGUGUGUGUGUGUGUGUGGUAUGGGGGAGUUGGGGGUAGG